GACGAACGCUGGCGGCGUGCUUAACACAUGCAAGUCGAACGAUGAACCCGGAGCUUGCUCCGGUGGAUUAGUGGCGAACGGGUGAGUAACACGUGAGUAACCUGCCCUUGACUCUGGGAUAACUGCGGGAAACUGUAGCUAAUACCGGAUACGACCCUCGGCGGCACUGCCAGGGGGUGGAAAGAAUUUUGGUCAAGGAGGGAGUCGCGGCCUAUCAGCUAGUUGGUGAGGUAACGGCUCACCAAGGCGACGACGGGUAGCCGGCCUGAGAGGGGGACCGGCCACACUGGGAAUGAGACACGGCCCAGACUCCUACGGGAGGUAGCAGUGGGGAAUAUUGCACAAUGGGCGCAAGCCUGAUGCAGCAACGCCGCGUGAGGGAUGACGGCCUUCGGGUUGUAAACCUCUUUUAGUAGGGAAGAAGCGAAAGUGACGGUACCCGCAGAAAAAGCACCGGCUAACUACGUGCCAGCCGCCGCCGUAA
Molecule: ribosomal RNA, 484 nt
Filed under: uncultured bacterium
Lineage: Bacteria
Description: partial 16S ribosomal RNA
Rfam family: Bacterial small subunit ribosomal RNA
Source: RNAcentral